This 254-nucleotide ribosomal RNA is filed under the name uncultured bacterium. RNAcentral describes it as "partial 16S ribosomal RNA". It matches the Rfam family "Bacterial small subunit ribosomal RNA", at positions 524 to 776 of the family's 1533-position model. The record is from RNAcentral.
UACGGAGGGGGCUAGCGUUGUUCGGAAUUACUGGGCGUAAAGCGCACGUAGGCGGCUUUGCAAGUUAGAGGUGAAAGCCCGGGGCUCAACCCCGGAAUUGCCUUUAAAACUGCAUCGCUAGAAUUGUGGAGAGGUAAGUGGAAUUCCGAGUGUAGAGGUGAAAUUCGUAGAUAUUGGGAAGAACACCGGUGGCGAAGGCGGCGACCUGGUCCUUUUACUGACGCUGAGGCGCGAAAGCGUGGGGAGCAAACAGG